CAGCAGUGCUCAUCCAUUCCCACCUGCACUUAAAUCCAGGGAUGGCUUCCCUGUAGAUGAAGAGCACAAACAGGGUUGAAUCCUCCUCACAGUGGGAUGAAGGGAAACAUGGAUUAUCUGUCCCCAGGAAAAAUAAGGAAGGAAUUAGCUCUGCAUUGUGCGCGCUGACACGCUAAAAGCGAGCUGGCUUGGGAGCAAGAAGUUGCUGUGCCCCGGGACGGACCGGGGUGGAGGCCCGAGGCUUGUGGAGGGGGGGCUUCUCCCCUCUCUCCUCUGCAGGAGGGGAGACCCAGAGUCCCCCCUACACUUCGAGGCGAGGUAAUCCCUGAAUACACUGAGUAACAGGCGCUGCAUUACGGGGCUGCCCUGAUCCCCCGGCCGUGGCCGCGCCGCCUCGCCUUGGGCAGGUGCCCGCUCUUCUCGCGUGCUGCCCGCCCCGGUGCGGAGGGAAGCGCGGGCGCGGAGAGGGGCG
Neopsephotus bourkii (Bourke's parrot) is the source of this 472-nucleotide long non-coding RNA. RefSeq lists it as uncharacterized. The record is from RefSeq and is a predicted model, not a curated record. NCBI's taxonomy places the organism in Eukaryota, Metazoa, Chordata, Aves, Psittaciformes, Psittacidae. The transcript has 3 exons.